AAGGAAUAUUGGACAAUGGGCGGAAGCCUGAUCCAGCCAUGCCGCGUGAAGGAUGAAGGCGCUCAGCGUUGUAAACUUCUUUUGGAUGGGGACAAUAAUCUCGAUUUAUCGGGACUUGAGGGUACCAUCAGAAUAAGCACCGGCUAACUCCGUGCCAGCAGCCGCGGUAAUACGGAGGGUGCAAGCGUUAUCCGGAAUCACUGGGUUUAAAGGGUGCGUAGGCUGUUAGAUAAGUCAGUUGUGAAAUUCCCCGGCUUAACCGGGCGAACUGCGAUUGAUACUGUUUAACUUGAAUGAGGUUGAGGUAGGCGGAAUGUGGCAUGUAGCGGUGAAAUGCUUAGAUAUGCCAUAGAACACCGAUUGCGAAGGCAGCUUGCUGGGCCUUCAGUGACGCUGAGGCACGAAAGCGUGGGGAGCAAAC
This 421-nucleotide ribosomal RNA is filed under the name uncultured bacterium. RNAcentral describes it as "bacterial SSU rRNA". It matches the Rfam family "Bacterial small subunit ribosomal RNA", at positions 356 to 773 of the family's 1533-position model. The record is from RNAcentral.